RNAcentral lists this ribosomal RNA (300 nucleotides) under uncultured bacterium. RNAcentral's name for it is "bacterial SSU rRNA". It matches the Rfam family "Bacterial small subunit ribosomal RNA", at positions 1062 to 1382 of the family's 1533-position model. The record is from RNAcentral.
GUGUCGUGAGGAUGUCGGUUAAGUCCGGGCAACGAGCGCAACCCACAUCCUUAGUUGCCAGCAUUCGGCUGGGCACUCUAAGGAAACUAGCCCGUGAUAAGCGGGAGGAAGGUGUGGAUGACGUCAAGUCCUCAUGGCCCUUACGGGUUGGGCUACACACGUGCUACAAUGGCAGUGACAAUGGGUUAAUCCCCAAAAAACUGUCUCAGUUCGGAUUGUCGUCUGCAACUCGACGGCAUGAAGUCGGAAUCGCUAGUAAUCGCGUAACAGCAUGACGCGGUGAAUACGUUCCCGGGCCUU